This is a long non-coding RNA of Dermochelys coriacea (leatherback sea turtle), 1943 nucleotides long. RefSeq lists it as uncharacterized. NCBI's taxonomy places the organism in Eukaryota, Metazoa, Chordata, Testudines, Dermochelyidae. The record is from RefSeq and is a predicted model, not a curated record. The transcript is spliced from 2 exons.
GGAAAACCCCAACUUAGUAAUGAUGGAAUGUAAGAGGGAGCAGAACUCUUGAGUAAGCCUUGUUAAGAAAAGGCUGGCUGGGGCCAAAGCCUAACUAGUGACUGCUUGGAAGGAAGCACCAGUGGGGUCUAGAGCCUAAUUAGACACUCCUAAGUGUCAGAGCUGCCUUGGAGCAAGUAGGCCUGGUAUGGAAUGUUACUUUUGUUCCUCAACUAAUUUGGAUCCUCUCUCUUUUGGGACCUGCAGAUGAGUCAGCUGGGGAAGAGGCUGUGAGAAAUGCUUAGUUCCAGGCCAUGGGCAGAAGUAGCUUGGGGAUCCAGCAGAGGGUAUGGACAAACAGACCUCAGCUGCUUCAUACAGCAUUCCUGGGCUAGAAUCCAGAGAACAGGAUGGCUCUGGGUUCCUCUCCUUGCCCAUCUAGGGUGGGGAUGUGAAAACCCUGGUGCCAAGGGCUGACAGGCCCAAAAGCCUGAAGUUGGGUUGAACCUCUUGUGUGAUGGUGCCAGGUCACUGGCUAGUUGGACUCGGAUUUCCCUGGAAGGGGCAGGACUAAGUGACUGGGGCUGGAGGGCCAAGUCACAGGAAGAGGCACAUCACUGCAAGUUUAGAGUGGCUGUUGGCAGAGGGCACCAAAGAAGGGAAGCUGCUGCUGUGUCCAGACAUGAGGGGGUGUGCCUGUGCUGAACCAUUGCCUUAUGGUUCAAAGGCAAAGGAAGAUUCUGUGGCAAAGUCAGUGGCCAUGGAAUACAUAGAGUUGUCUAAUAACUUCCAAUAUGCCUCCAAAAUGCAUGUCCUCUUCAUGAAGGAAAAAGUAUGAGUCCAAACUCAAAAGGCUUACUAAUUGCUGUAAGUAGAUAUUGAUACUUUCUGGAACUGAGUAAUCAUUACUGCCAUGUCUUUCUAAAUGGUAGGAUUUAAUUGUGGCAUACUAGCACUGUUUGUAACCCCGUCUUCCCAGGAAAUCAAGGAUAUGGACCAUGGCUUGAAUGUACCUGUAUUAAUAGCUUAUCUAUAUAGCAGUUUUCAUCCAGGCAAACAAACCUUAGAUGCGAGUUACAAAACAUCCAUGCCAUUUGACCUGAAACUCAAUAUUGAAUUUAGAAAGUGCCUGACUUAUUUUGUUACAAUAUUUAAAAUGCAUUAAUAUUUUAGUUACCAAGGAUGACUAUCUUAGUUUGCAGGGAUACAACUUAAUACCCCUCUAACAAAACUUCUGUAAACCUGAGUGCUUUAAUGGGCAAAUGGCAUUUGCUUGUUAAGGAUCAAAGUUCAAAUCCAAAUUGAUGUUUAUGGCCUUGAAUCAGUGUGUAAUGGACAGGUGUUCACGUUGUAAACCUGUAACACAGGCCACUAGCUAAGCUAACUCUACUAGUGUUGGGGUUGAGGUCAUUAGCAGUGCAGUAUUUGGGGAUGCUGCUGGUCCUUCUGACCAAGAGGAAGUGCAAAGUAAUAGUAGCUGUCUGCUGUGGAGGAGUAUAUAAGAGGAGAAUGGUGACCUCAUGAUGAAUGAGUGAAGAAAUGGAUAAGGAUUCAGGUCAGGACAAGUGAUCCAUACUCCUAUACCUUAUCAGGGAGACCAUUGUGGGGAUGGGGCAAAGGGGAAGCAAUAAACGCUUCACAGUAAGAUGCAGGAAUCAGAUCAAGGUAAAGCAGGAGUGAGCAAUUUUGCCUUCAUGGCUUCAGAGUAUGAGUGAAGAAAUGACCAUUUGAUGUACAAGUUUAUCCCCUCAGACAAACUUAUGAAUGGCAAUCUAUGUAGGAACCAUGCAAAGGUUUUGGAAUGUUUCAAGUUUUUAAAAAAAACUAAUUUGAAGAGGGCUGACAUGAAAUGGAUUAAGCUACUGUAACUUGGCAAAUCGUGUGAAUGAGAUGACCUGGUAUCUAUAAAGUGGUUUACUAUAUUUCUGAGUCUGAAUUAAAAAAAUAAAGACCUAAUAUGCUCA